This 237-nucleotide ribosomal RNA is filed under the name uncultured Staphylococcus sp. Its description in RNAcentral is "partial 16S ribosomal RNA". It matches the Rfam family "Bacterial small subunit ribosomal RNA", at positions 103 to 334 of the family's 1533-position model. Lineage: Bacteria; Bacillati; Bacillota; Bacilli; Caryophanales; Staphylococcaceae. The record is from RNAcentral.
CGGGUGAGUAACACGUGGAUAACCUACCUAUAAGACUGGGAUAACUUCGGGAAACCGUAGCUAAUACCGGAUAAUAUUUUGAACCGCAUGGUUCAAAAGUGAAAGACGGUCUUGCUGUCACUUAUAGAUGGAUCCGCGCUGCAUUAGCUAGUUGGUAAGGUAACGGCUUACCAAGGCAACGAUGCAUAGCCGACCUGAGAGGGCGAUCGGCCACACUGGAACUGAGACACGGUCCAG